Araneus ventricosus is the source of this 72-nucleotide non-coding RNA. Lineage: Eukaryota; Metazoa; Arthropoda; Arachnida; Araneae; Araneidae. The record is from the annotation of a GenBank genome assembly.
GCGUCGGUAGUUCAACGGUGAGAUUAGCUGUUUCCGAAAAAGUUGACCCGACUUCGACUCCCGGCCGACGCA